GUGCUUGCUUCGGCAGCACAUAUACUAAAAUUGGAACAAUACAGAGAUUAGCAUAAACAUGACCCUGUGCAAGGAUAACACACAAAUUCGUGAAGCGUUCCAUAUUUAA
Molecule: small nuclear RNA, 109 nt
Organism: Otolemur garnettii (small-eared galago)
Lineage: Eukaryota; Metazoa; Chordata; Mammalia; Primates; Galagidae
Source: Ensembl